UUGGCAGCCCCGCAGACUGAAGUCCUCUGUUCAUCCACAGAACAGGUACAGCACGGGCAAGAUUUACCCACCCACCCUCAGCCCUGAUGUGGAGGGACCACCACUAGGGGUGGGAGGGUAAUUCAGCUUCUGAGGCCCUUUCGCUCCUUGGAGUCU
Unclassified non-coding RNA from Aotus nancymaae (Ma's night monkey), 156 nucleotides. The record is from Ensembl. Lineage: Eukaryota; Metazoa; Chordata; Mammalia; Primates; Aotidae.